Molecule: non-coding RNA, 71 nt
Organism: Danio rerio (zebrafish)
Lineage: Eukaryota; Metazoa; Chordata; Actinopteri; Cypriniformes; Danionidae
Source: Rfam
GCAUUGGUCGUUCAGUGGUAGAAUUCUUGCCUGCCACGCGGGAGACCCAGGUCCGUUUCCCGGCCAAUGCA